CGAUCCAUUGAUAACUGAUGGUAACUUCCGCCAGACAAUCCUGUCCAGCAUUGCUCGUGCUGGACAUGCUAUCGAGGAGCUAUAUGGCUCUCCUCAAGACAUCGAGGGUGUAGUGAGGGAUGGAAAGAUUUAUGUCGUUCAGACAAGACCUCAGAUGUGAUCAUAUUCUCGUUGUAUGUUGUUCAGAGAAGACCACAGAUAUGAUCAUAUUCUCAUGGUAUCAGAUCUGUGACCACUUACCUCCCAUGAAGUUGCCUGUAUGAUUAUACGUGAUCCAAAGCCAUCACAUCAUGUUCACCUUCAGCUAUUGGAGGAGAAGUGAGAAGUAGGAAUUGCAAUAUGAGGAAUAAUAAGAAAAACUUUGUGAAAGCUAAAUUAGCUGGGUAUGAUAUAGGGAGAAAUGUGUAAACAUUGUACUAUAUAUAGUAU
Molecule: long non-coding RNA, 429 nt
Filed under: Solanum tuberosum (potato)
Lineage: Eukaryota; Viridiplantae; Streptophyta; Magnoliopsida; Solanales; Solanaceae
Description: long non-coding RNA (STUB_LNC005475)
Source: RNAcentral